RNAcentral lists this ribosomal RNA (468 nucleotides) under uncultured bacterium. Its description in RNAcentral is "partial 16S ribosomal RNA". It matches the Rfam family "Bacterial small subunit ribosomal RNA", at positions 28 to 507 of the family's 1533-position model. The record is from RNAcentral.
GACGAACGCUGGCGGCGUGCUUAACACAUGCAAGUCGAACGGAAAGGCCCUGCUUUUGUGGGGUGCUCGAGUGGCGAACGGGUGAGUAACACGUGAGUAACCUGCCCUUGACUUUGGGAUAACUUCAGGAAACUGGGGCUAAUACCGGAUAGGAGCUCCUGCUGCAUGGUGGGGGUUGGAAAGUUUCGGCGGUUGGGGAUUGACUCGCGGCUUAUCAGCUUGUUGGUGGGGUAGUGGCUUACCAAGGCUUUGACGGGUAGCCGGCCUGAGAGGGUGACCGGCAACAUUGGGACUGAGAUACGGCCCAGACUCCUAAGGGAGGCAGCAGUGGGGAAUAUUGCACGAUGGGCGGAAGCCUGAUGCAGCAACGCCGCGUGCGGGAUGACGGCCUUCGGGUUGUAAACCGCUUUCGCCUGUGACGAAGCGUGAGUGACGGUAAUGGGUAAAGAAGCACCGGCUAACUACGUG